Molecule: ribosomal RNA, 734 nt
Filed under: uncultured Pseudomonas sp.
Lineage: Bacteria; Pseudomonadati; Pseudomonadota; Gammaproteobacteria; Pseudomonadales; Pseudomonadaceae
Description: bacterial SSU rRNA
Rfam family: Bacterial small subunit ribosomal RNA
Source: RNAcentral
AGAGUUUGAUCAUGGCUCAGAUUGAACGCUGGCGGCAGGCCUAACACAUGCAAGUCGAGCGGCAGCGGGUCCUUCGGGAUGCCGGCGAGCGGCGGACGGGUGAGUAAUGCCUAGGAAUCUGCCUGGUAGUGGGGGAUAACUCGGGGAAACUCGAGCUAAUACCGCAUACGUCCUACGGGAGAAAGCGGGGGAUCUUCGGACCUCGCGCUACCAGAUGAGCCUAGGUCGGAUUAGCUAGUUGGUGAGGUAAAGGCUCACCAAGGCGACGAUCCGUAGCUGGUCUGAGAGGAUGAUCAGCCACACUGGAACUGAGACACGGUCCAGACUCCUACGGGAGGCAGCAGUGGGGAAUAUUGGACAAUGGGCGAAAGCCUGAUCCAGCCAUGCCGCGUGUGUGAAGAAGGUCUUCGGAUUGUAGAGCACUUUAAGUUGGGAGGAAGGGCAGUAAGUUAAUACCUUGCUGUUUUGACGUUACCGACAGAAUAAGCACCGGCUAACCUCGUGCCAGCAGCCGCGGUAAUACGAAGGGUGCAAGCGUUAAUCGGAAUUACUGGGCGUAAAGCGCGCGUAGGUGGUUUGAUAAGUUGGAUGUGAAAGCCUCGGGCUCAACUUGGGAAUUGCAUCCAAAACUGUCUGACUAGAGUAUGGCAGAGGGUGGUGGAAUUUCCCUGUGUAGCGGUGAAAUGCGUAGAUAUAGGAAGGAACACCAUUGGCGAAGGCGACCACCUGGGGCU